UCAAGCUAAUAAGGGCGCAAGGAGGAUGCCUUGGCAUUGGAAGCCGAUGAAGGACGUAGCGAUCUACGAAAAGCCUCGGGGAGGCGAAAGCAGCCCGUGAUCCGGGGAUAUCCGAAUGGGGAAACCCGGCGGAGCAAUACUCCGUCAACUCUUUGUGAAUCAAAUAGCAAUUAGUGGGGAACCGCCUGAACUGAAACAUCUAAGUAGGGCGAGGAAAAGAAAUCAACCGAGAUUCCGCAAGUAGUGGCGAGCGAACGCGGAAGAGGCCAAACCGAGGGUAGUAAUACCUUCGGGGUUCGGACAGCGUAAGGCAUCGAUGAUCGAUAGCAGAAUGAAAUGGGAAGUUCAACCAUAGAACGUGAUAGUCGUGUAAGCGAAAUCGAAAGUCGGCUGGCUGUAUCCAGAGUACCGCCGGACACGUGAAACCCGGUGGGAAUACGGGGGGACCACCCUCCAAGCCUAAAUACUCUCCAAUGACCGAUAGUGUAAAGUACUGUGAAGGAAAGGUGAAAAGAACCCCUGGCGGGGAGUGAAAAAGAACCUGAAACCUUGUGCCUACAAGCACAUAGAGCACAUCAACGUGUGAUAUGGUACCUUUUGUAGAAUGGUCCGGCGAGUAAAUGUCACUGGCAAGGUUAAGGACUUCAGGUCCGGAGCCGAAGCGAAAGCGAGUCUUAACUGGGCGACAUAGUCAGUGGUAUUUGACCCGAAACCGAGUGACCUAGCCAUGAGCAGGCUGAAGUGGAGGUAAAACUCCAUGGAGGGCCGAACCCACUCCCGUUGAAAUGGUAGGGGAUGACUUGUGGCUAGCGGAGAAAUUCCAAUCGAACUCGGAGAUAGCUGGUUCUCUCCGAAAUAGCUUUAGGGCUAGCCUCAAUUAACAUUACCGAAGGUAAAGCACUGACUGAGCUAGGGGGCGAAAGCUUACUGAACUCUAUCAAACUAAGAAUGUCGGAUAAUGAAUGAUUGGGAGUCACACUGCGUGAGAUAAGUUUCGCGGUGGAAAGGGAAACAGCCCAGACCCACAGCUAAGGUCCCGAAGUAUGGUUAAGUGGAGAAGGAUGUGGAAUUGCGCAGACAACCAGGAUGUUGGCUCAGAAGCAGCCACUCAUUCAAAGAGUGCGUAAUAGCUCACUGGUCGAGUGAUCCUGCGCCGAAAAUUUAACGGGGCUAAACCAUACACCGAAGCUUGGGAAUAUACGUAAGUAUGUUGGUAGGAGAGCGUCGUAUACGGGGUGAAGUUACAGCGGAAGCGGUAGUGGACUGUAUACGAGUGAGAAUGCCGGAAUGAGUAGCGAGAAUUAUGUGAGAAUCAUAAUGGCCGAAAGACUGAGGUUUUAGAAGGAAGGUUCGUCCGCUUCUAGUUAGCCGGGAGCUAAGGCGAGGCCGAGAGGCGUAGUCGAUGCACAUACGGUUGAGAUUCCGUAGCCACCUUAAAUUUAAACUGAGGGACACAUCGAAAGGGCAUAACCCGGGCGUUGGUUGACCCGGGCGCAAGGGAACGAAGAUUAGUAGGGAAGUAUGCUUGGACGGUGGCGAGAAAAGCUCAGUGUAUAUAGCUAGGGUGCCCGUACUGCAAACCGACACAGGUAGUCAGGAAGAGAAUUCUAAGGCCAACGGGAGAAGGAUUGUUAAGGAACUCGGCAAAUUGGCCCCGUAACUUCGGAAUAAGGGGUGCUCACGAGAGUGAGCCGCAGUGAAUAGGUCCAGGCAACUGUUUAUCAAAAACACAGCUCUCUGCUAAAUCGUAAGAUGACGUAUAGGGGGUGACACCUGCCCGGUGCUGGAAGGUUAAGAGGAGGGGUGCAAGCUCCGAAUUGAAGCCCCAGUAAACGGCGGCCGUAACUAUAACGGUCCUAAGGUAGCGAAAUUCCUUGUCGGGUAAGUUCCGACCCGCACGAAUGGUGUAAUGAUCUGGACACUGUCUCAACAAUCCACCCGGCGAAAUUGUAGUACCGGUGAAGAUGCCGGUUACCCGCGGCAAGACGGAAAGACCCCAUGGAGCUUCACUGCAGCUUGAUAUUGGGUUUCGGUAUUCUAUUUACAGGAUAGGCGGGAGACAGAGAAACCAGCACGCCAGUGCUGGCGGAGUCGUCCUUGGGAUACCGCUAUUAGAGUAUUGGAAUUCUAACCUGCGGCCUUGAAUCAGGUCGGGGGACAUUGUCAGGUGGGCAGUUUGACUGGGGCGGUCGCCUCCAAAAGAGUAACGGAGGCGUUCAAAGGUUCACUCAGCAUGGACGGAAACCAUGCCCAAGAGUGCAAACGCAGAAGUGAGCCUAACUGCGAGACUGACGGGUCGAGCAGUAACGAAAGUUGGAGUUAGUGAUCCGGCGGUAUGUGAGUGGAAAUGCCGUCGCUCAACGGAUAAAAGCUACCCUGGGGAUAACAGGCUGAUCUCCCCCAAGAGUCCACAUCGACGGGGAGGUUUGGCACCUCGAUGUCGGCUCAUCACAUCCUGGGGCUGUAUUCGGUCCCAAGGGUUCGGCUGUUCGCCGAUUAAAGUGGUACGCGAGCUGGGUUCAGAACGUCGUGAGACAGUUCGGUCCCUAUCUGCCGUGGGCGUAGGAUAUUUGAGGAGCGCUGUUCCUAGUACGAGAGGACCGGAAUGGACGCACCGCUGGCGCAUCGGUUGUCAUGCCAAUGGCACGGCCGAGCAACUAUGUGCGGAUUGGAUAAACGCUGAAAGCAUCUAAGCGUGAAGCCAUCUCCAAGAUAAGAUAUCCCACUGUUUACAGUUAAGACCCCUCAAAGACUAUGAGGUUGAUAGGCUGCGUGUGUAAGUACAGCGAUGUAUUUAGCUUGGCAGUACUAAUAGGUCGAGGGCUUGACCUU
This 2832-nucleotide ribosomal RNA is filed under the name gut metagenome. RNAcentral describes it as "bacterial LSU rRNA". It matches the Rfam family "Bacterial large subunit ribosomal RNA". The record is from RNAcentral.